GUGCUCACUUCAGCGGCACAUAUGCUAAGAUUGGAAUGAUGCAGAGAUUAGCAUGCCCCUGCACAAAGAUGAUAUGCAAAUUUGUGAAGCAUUAUAAAAUAAU
This is a small nuclear RNA of Callithrix jacchus (white-tufted-ear marmoset), 103 nucleotides long. The record is from Ensembl. NCBI's taxonomy places the organism in Eukaryota, Metazoa, Chordata, Mammalia, Primates, Cebidae.